Bufo bufo (common toad) is the source of this 149-nucleotide long non-coding RNA. RefSeq lists it as uncharacterized. The record is from RefSeq and is a predicted model, not a curated record. The transcript has 3 exons. Lineage: Eukaryota; Metazoa; Chordata; Amphibia; Anura; Bufonidae.
AAGGAUUUCGCACAUUCUGAACACAAAAACAGCUUCUCUCCUGUGUGAAUUCUAUGAUGGCUGUCAAGACUUGAUUUAUCAGUAAAAGAUUUCCUACAUUCUGAACAUGAAAACGGCUUCUCUCCUGUGUGAAUUCUAUAAUAGUCAUC